GAUAAACGCUGGCGGCGUGCCUAACACAUGCAAGUCGAACGUCCUCUCUCGCAAGAGAGAGGGAGUGGCGGACGGGUGAGUAACACAUGGGUCACCUACCCUUAAGUGAGGAAUACCGGCGAGAAAUCGCCGACAAGACCGCAUAGGCUCUCUCUUUUGCAAGAGAGAGCAAAGCUUCGCAAGAGGCGCUUGAGGAUGGGCCUGUGGCCGAUUAGCUGGUUGGAGGGUAAUGGCUUACCAAGGCGACGAUCGGUAGCUGGUCUGAGAGGACGAUCAGCCACACUGGGA
This 288-nucleotide ribosomal RNA is filed under the name uncultured bacterium. RNAcentral's name for it is "partial 16S ribosomal RNA". It matches the Rfam family "Bacterial small subunit ribosomal RNA", at positions 28 to 318 of the family's 1533-position model. The record is from RNAcentral.